UGGUUCUGGCAUCGAUGAAGAACGCAGCGAAAUGCGAUAAGUAAUGCGAAUUGCAGAAUCCGUGAGUCAUCGAAUCUUUGAACGCAUAUUGCGCCCCUUGGUAUUCCGGGGGGCAUGCCUGUUCGAGCGUCAUUAUCACCCCUCAAGCCCGGCUUGUUGUUGGACGCCGGCGGGGCCUCUGGGCCCUGCCCGUCUCAAAGAUAAUGACGGCGUCUGUGAGGACUCCUGUACACUGAGCUUUCGGGCACGUACUAGGCUAGCACUCCAGGCCCGGUCUCCUGGUGCGUCGGUUCGCCGGCCCGCCACUUUUUUCACAAGGUUGACCUCGGAUCAGGUAGGAAUACCCGCUGA
Molecule: unclassified non-coding RNA, 351 nt
Filed under: uncultured fungus
Lineage: Eukaryota; Fungi
Description: partial contains 5.8S ribosomal RNA and internal transcribed spacer 2
Rfam family: 5.8S ribosomal RNA (bases 1-132)
Source: RNAcentral